Long non-coding RNA from Ipomoea nil (Japanese morning glory), 304 nucleotides. RefSeq lists it as uncharacterized. NCBI's taxonomy places the organism in Eukaryota, Viridiplantae, Streptophyta, Magnoliopsida, Solanales, Convolvulaceae. The record is from RefSeq and is a predicted model, not a curated record. The transcript is spliced from 3 exons.
UACUACACUAUUUUAUUAAUAGCAUUCCCAAAUUAAUCAACUUAUGCGGAAGGUAACAUUUUAAUAGCACUACAAUUUUUCAUAGUUCUUUUAAAUUUAUAUAUUGAAAUAUUUGUGUAUACUUUUCUUUCAGUUGCGGCUUCUUUUAGAUUUUAGAUUUAUACAGAGCACACUAGUAGAUUGCUCACUCACAAUCUUUUUCCUUACAUUAACUACUCACUCACGUUUACCUGGUAAUUUUCUUAUUUGCUUGACAAUCCUUUUGUUAUUUUAAAUCAAUUAAUUAAAUCCUUUGGGUUGUUAA